GUGACCGAGGACAAACUAGCAGAGUCGCCUGCCUGUCGAGCAGGAGAUAGCGGGGGCAGCACCCGUCGGUCGCGCCA
This 77-nucleotide transfer RNA is filed under the name Opitutus terrae PB90-1. RNAcentral describes it as "tRNA-Asp (GTC) (tRNA-Asp-GTC-2-1)". Lineage: Bacteria; Pseudomonadati; Verrucomicrobiota; Opitutia; Opitutales; Opitutaceae. The record is from RNAcentral.